CAUAUAUAUACAUAUACAUAUAUAUAUUUUUUCCUGUUAAGAAUUGACUUGUGGACUAUGGAAACUAAAUGGACCCAAAAUCAGCAAUCUGGUGAUCCAGGGAAGCUGAUGAUUUGGUUCCAGUUCAAGUCCAGAGCCUUGAGAACCAGACCAUGCAUUUCAAUGGAAAUAUGGAGAAAAAAGUGCAUCCUGUGGUUCAGUGAUACUUAUGUAAUUACUGGAGGAACAGAUGGCCAAUCCAUAGUACACAGAUUCCACAAAAAUUUAGAAGCAAUGUGUCCAUACACACAGCUGAUGACAAGUCCCUAUGGAGGUUUGGCUAAGAGCACCAGUGAUGAUUCACCAAGACAAUUCACAGAAGGUAACUGUAUAUGAGUUUAUACAGUCACACACCACACACUGACAUUUUGCUCAAUGAUGUGACAGUGACCCAUAGAUUACAUCACCUACUUACAUCUUAAAGUUGACUCUCUGUUGUCUACACAGUGAAGAAAUCACCUACUGAUGCAUUCUCUCAGAAAAUAUCUCCAUCAUUGAAUGACACAUG
Molecule: long non-coding RNA, 547 nt
Filed under: Heterocephalus glaber (naked mole-rat)
Lineage: Eukaryota; Metazoa; Chordata; Mammalia; Rodentia; Bathyergidae
Description: lncRNA (ENSHGLG00000045479.1)
Source: RNAcentral